AGAGUUUGAUCAUGGCUCAGGAUGAACGCUAGCGGCAGGCUUAAUACAUGCAAGUCGUGGGGCAGCAGGGCUGUAGCAAUACAGUCGCUGGCGACCGGCAAACGGGUGCGGAACACGUACACAACCUUCCUUUAAGUGGGGAAUAGCCCGGGGAAACCCGGAUUAAUACCCCGUAUCAUAAUAGAGUGGCAUCGCUUUAUUAUUAAAGCUCCGGCGCUUGAAGAUGGGUGUGCGGCUGAUUAGGUAGUUGGCGGGGUAACGGCCCACCAAGCCUACGAUCAGUAACUGGUGUGAGAGCACGACCAGUCACACGGGCACUGAGACACGGGCCCGACUCCUACGGGAGGCAGCAGUAAGGAAUAUUGGUCAAUGGACGCAAGUCUGAACCAGCCAUGCCGCGUGGAGGAUGAAGGUCCUCUGGAUUGUAAACUUCUUUUAUCUGGGAAGAAACCCAUGGAUUCUUCUGUGGUUGACGGUACCAGAUGAAUAAGCACCGGCUAACUCCGUGCCAGCAGCCGCGGUAAUACGGAGGGUGCAAGCGUUAUCCGGAUUCACUGGGUUUAAAGGGUGCGUAGGCGGACAGGUAAGUCAGUGGUGAAAUCUCUGGGCUUAACUCAGAAACUGCCGUUGAUACUAUCUGUCUUGAAUAUCAUGGAGGUAAGCGGAAUAUGUCAUGUAGCGGUGAAAUGCUUAGAUAUGACAUAGAACACCGAUAGCGAAGGCAGCUUACUACAUGAAGAUUGACGCUGAGGCACGAAAGCGUGGGGAGCAAACAGGAUUAGAUACCCUAGUAGUCC
This 797-nucleotide ribosomal RNA is filed under the name uncultured bacterium. RNAcentral's name for it is "bacterial SSU rRNA". It matches the Rfam family "Bacterial small subunit ribosomal RNA", at positions 8 to 796 of the family's 1533-position model. The record is from RNAcentral.